Long non-coding RNA from Chiloscyllium plagiosum (whitespotted bambooshark), 580 nucleotides. RefSeq lists it as uncharacterized. The record is from RefSeq and is a predicted model, not a curated record. NCBI's taxonomy places the organism in Eukaryota, Metazoa, Chordata, Chondrichthyes, Orectolobiformes, Hemiscylliidae.
AAAACGUAUACAUAAUGUUUAAUUUUUGAAUGUAAUUGGGCAGUUUUCUCCAAAGAACACAGAAGCUGUUAACCUCCGUGUUGCUGGACAAACCUGUGCCCAAUGUCGUAAUGAACUGGUAACCUUGCUUUAAACAGACUGUACUCCUGUUGAUUCGUUUGACCGAUCUCAAAACCAAGAGGCCCCUCUUUGGGGGAGGCGUGCGAGGUUCCAGAUCUUCAUAUGGUGCCGUAUUUCGUGGUUCAGCACGGAUGGAUUGUGGACAGUAGUUUAAGAGCCUUGAGCCCUUCACUAUUGAGUAUUGAGGAAUUCGGCUGGCCAGAUGCUGUGACACUGCCUCCUAGGCUCCUGUCUCAAAUAGGUAAAAACAAUGACUGCAGAUGCUGGAAACCAGAUUCUGGAUCAGUGGUGCUGGAAGAGCACAGCAAUUCAGGCAGCAUCCGAAGACAGGCAAAAUCGACGUUUCGGGCAAAAGCCCUUCACCUGUCUCAAAUAUGCAGGUUGGAGGAGUAAAAGAAAUACAUCAAGAUCCUUCAACCUACUUGGUAAGAAGACAUGGCUGGAUAUUGGACCAUCACCC